GGGCCCGCACAAGCGGUGGAGUAUGUGGUUUAAUUCGAUGCAACGCGAAGAACCUUACCAGGGUUUGACAUCCUGCGAAUCUCUUGGAAACGAGAGAGUGCCUUCGGGGACGCAGUGACAGGUGCUGCAUGGCUGUCGUCAGCUCGUGUCGUGAGAUGUUCGGUUAAGUCCGGCAACGAGCGCAACCCACAUCCCUAGUUGCCAGCAGUUCGGCUGGGCACUCUAUGGAAACUGCCCGUGAUAAGCGGGAGGAAGGUGUGGAUGACGUCAAGUCCUCAUGGCCCUUACGGGUUGGGCUACACACGUGCUACAAUGGUAGUGACAAUGGGUUAAUCCCAAAAAGCUAUCUCAGUUCGGAUUGUCGUCUGCAACUCGACGGCAUGAAGUCGGAAUCGCUAGUAAUCG
Molecule: ribosomal RNA, 405 nt
Filed under: uncultured bacterium
Lineage: Bacteria
Description: bacterial SSU rRNA
Rfam family: Bacterial small subunit ribosomal RNA
Source: RNAcentral